Molecule: ribosomal RNA, 253 nt
Filed under: uncultured bacterium
Lineage: Bacteria
Description: partial 16S ribosomal RNA
Rfam family: Bacterial small subunit ribosomal RNA
Source: RNAcentral
UACGAAGGGGGCUAGCGUUGCUCGGAAUCACUGGGCGUAAAGGGUGUGUAGGUGGCGCCGUAAGUCGGGUGUGAAAUCUCGGGGCUUAACUCCGAAACUGCAUUCGAUACUGCGGUGCUUGAGGACUGGAGAGGAGACUGGAAUUCAUGGUGUAGCAGUGAAAUGCGUAGAGAUCAUGAGGAAGACCAGUGGCGAAGGCGGGUCUCUGGACAGUUCCUGACACUGAGACACGAAGGCCAGGGGAGCAAACGGG